GCUGGUGGGAUACUACCCUAGCUGUGUUGGCUUUCUAACCCGCACCACUUAUCGUGGUGGGAGACAGUGUCAGGCGGGCAGUUUGACUGGGGCGGUCGCCUCCUAAAAGGGAACGGAGGCGCUCAAAGGUUCCCUCAGAAUGGUUGGAAAUCAUUCAUAGAGUGUAAAGGCAUAAGGGAGCUUGACUGCGAGACCUACAAGUCGAGCAGGGUCGAAAGACG
RNAcentral lists this ribosomal RNA (221 nucleotides) under Staphylococcus aureus. Its description in RNAcentral is "partial 23S ribosomal RNA". It matches the Rfam family "Bacterial large subunit ribosomal RNA", at positions 2188 to 2408 of the family's 2925-position model. The record is from RNAcentral. Lineage: Bacteria; Bacillati; Bacillota; Bacilli; Caryophanales; Staphylococcaceae.